UACGGAAGGGGCAAGCGUUGUUCGGAAUCAUUGGGCGUAAAGGGCGCGUAGGUGGUUCUGUAUGUCUACCGUGAAAGCAUACAGCUCAACUGUAUUUUGUCGGUAGAAACUGCAGGACUUGAGGCUGGGAGGGGCUGGUGGAAUUCCCUGUGUAGCGGGUGAAAUGCGUAGAGAUGGGGGAGAACACUCGUGGCGAAGGCGGCCAGCUAGACCAGUUCUGACACUGAGGCGCGACAGCGUGGGGAGCAAACAGG
RNAcentral lists this ribosomal RNA (254 nucleotides) under uncultured bacterium. RNAcentral's name for it is "partial 16S ribosomal RNA". It matches the Rfam family "Bacterial small subunit ribosomal RNA", at positions 524 to 776 of the family's 1533-position model. The record is from RNAcentral.